GCUAGCGGCAGGCCUAACACAUGCAAGUCGAGGGGCAGCGGGGAUAAGCUUGCUUAUCCGCCGGCGACCGGCGCACGGGUGCGCAACGCGUAUAGAAUCUGCCCUGUACUGGGGAAUAGCCCAGAGAAAUUUGGAUUAAKGCCCCAUGGUAUGUAUKWGUGGCAUCACMUAUACAUUAAAGGCUACGGUACAGGAUGACUAUGCGUCCCAUUAGUUAGUUGGUAAGGUAACGGCUUACCAAGGCAGCGAUGGGUAGGGGCCCUGAGAGGGGGAUCCCCCACACUGGUACUGAGACACGGACCAGACUCCUACGGGAGGCAGCAGUGAGGAAUAUUGGACAAUGGGCGGGAGCCUGAUCCAGCCAUGCCGCGUGCAGGAAGACGGUCCUAUGGAUUGUAAACUGCUUUUGUACGGGAAGAACAAGGGGCACGUGUGCCCCUCUGACGGUACCGUAAGAAUAAGGAUCGGCUAACUCCGUGCCAGCAGCCGCGGUAAUACGGAGGAUCCGAGCGUUAUCCGGAAUCAUUGGGUUUAAAGGGUCCGUAGGCGGGCCAUUAAGUCAGGGGUGAAAGUCUGCGGCUCAACCGUAGAAUUGCCCUUGAUACUGGUGGUCUUGAGUUAUGGUGAAGUAACUAGAAUAUGUAGUGUAGCGGUGAAAUGCAUAGAUAUUACAUAGAAUACCGAUUGCGAAGGCAGGUUACUAACCAUAUACUGACGCUGAUGGACGAAAGCGUGGGGAGCGAACAGGAUUAGAUACCCUGGUAGUCCACGCCGUAAACGAUGGAUACUAGCUGUCCGGAUGCAAAUCUGGGCGGCCAAGCGAAAGUGAUAAGUAUCCCACCUGGGGAGUACGUCCGCAAGGAUGAAACUCAAAGGAAUUGACGGGGGCCC
RNAcentral lists this ribosomal RNA (891 nucleotides) under Arenibacter sp. MH158. RNAcentral describes it as "bacterial SSU rRNA". It matches the Rfam family "Bacterial small subunit ribosomal RNA", at positions 35 to 922 of the family's 1533-position model. The record is from RNAcentral. Lineage: Bacteria; Pseudomonadati; Bacteroidota; Flavobacteriia; Flavobacteriales; Flavobacteriaceae.